UUUAAAGUAAUAUGUCUUAUUGUUUAUGAAAAAUACUUCUCCUAUGCCUAAGGGAGAAGUGAAACAUUGUCAUGCAUUUUCAAAUUAUCAUCAAUAAAAUACAAUUUUUAUUCAUCCAUAUCUAUGUUGUUUUUACUUUUUGCUUUUUCAGAAAAUGGUGAUCACAAAAAACAUAAAUAAGCAAUCAUUUUUCCCAUAUCUGCAUAAUAUGUGUGUGCACUUCAUAUUUCUAAAUCAAAAUAUCAAAUUAUUAUGCAGGUUGCUUCUCAAAC
RNAcentral lists this long non-coding RNA (272 nucleotides) under Lathyrus oleraceus (garden pea). RNAcentral's name for it is "Pisum sativum (pea) long non-coding RNA (PSAT_LNC025571)". Lineage: Eukaryota; Viridiplantae; Streptophyta; Magnoliopsida; Fabales; Fabaceae. The record is from RNAcentral.